GGUCAAUAAUGUCUGCUGGAGCAGGUGCGAUGGGUCAAGCUAAAGUUUCCUGGAGCAGGUUGGGUUGACCAAAAUAUUUUUAUAUCCGGUCAUGCUUUCUGGGAGAAGCAGGUGGAAUUCAUUUGGGAGUUGGCAAGAAUGAGACGAAAAACAUACUGCACACUUCUAACACACACUUAUUGUUUGUUAGCGUUAUUGUUAUUCUGUAUACAGAUUAGAAAAUUCAGUACUGUUUUGUUAUUGUUAUGCAGCAGUAUUUUGUAGUGUAUCCUAGUGCACCACAUUAAAUCCGAAAGCUUUUACUUCAUUAUAAGUUAAAAAAUAUUAACAGCAGUGCACUAAACUAAUUUGCCUAUGUGUGGCGCUGUUUCUGGGUCUCUCUUAAAACACAUAAGGUAAGUUCACUUCAGCAAGCCGCCAGUGUGGAAAAUUAGGACAAGGCCAGGGACACACACACACACACACACACACACACGGGCGCACUGGGCGAGUCUCCCGCAGAGGCAGCGGCGCGGCGGCACAAUGCUGAGCCAGGUCAGCAAAUUCUUCACAUGAAGGCAAGACGUUUGAACUAGAAAAUCUUCCUCUGUCUUACAAGACAAAUGGCCAAAGCAUAUGAAUUUAACUGGAAGAGGCUGGUGCCUCACAUUAUGCAGGAAGGGGAAUAUUUCGAUAGAUUCGAUGAGGAUCCAUUUGUCUUUGAGCCUCACUGCUUUUUUAAAGUGGAUGCCUUUGCAUUCUUCAUCACAUGGAAAAGUGAAGGAAAGGAAGGUCAGGUUCUGGAGUUCUCUUUAAUCAACAGUAUACGGAACACAAAUGUACCUAAGGAUCCAAAGAUUCUUUCAGCAAUUGAGAGCACUGGGAAGUCUGAGAGUGACUUGGAUGGCAGGAUUAUCUGCAUAUGCAGUGGCACCGACUUGGUUAACCUCAGCUUCAUGUACAUAGUGGCACCUACCAUUAGCAUUGCAAAGCAAUGGACUGACAGCUUGCGGUUACUGAUUCACAACACCCGUGCAAGCAAUGUGUGUCCGAUGACCUGUCUCAAGAAACACUGGAUGAAGCUGUCAUCUUUGACCAACGUGAGCGGAAAAAUCCCAGUGAGAAGCAUAACAAGAACUUUUGCUUCUGGGAAAACUGAGAAGGUUAUAUUCCAGGUGCUAAAAGACCUUGGUCUGCCUAGUGGAAAGAACGAUGAAAUUGAGCCGGAUGUUUUCACCUUUGAUAAGUUUUACUCCCUCACUCAAAAGAUUUGCCCCAGAACUGACAUUGAAGCACUGUUCAAGAAUCUCUGUGGAGAUAAGAGUGAUUAUUUAAACAUAGACCAAUUAGUCAGCUUUUUGAAUGAAAACCAACGGGACCCUCGGCUUAACGAGAUCCUUUUUCCAUUUUACGACUCCAAACGUGCAAGGCAAAUCAUAGAAACCUACGAGACUGACGAGAAGCUUAGAAUGAAAGGAGUGAUGUCGUUUGAUGGAUUUUGUCGGUACCUGAUGUCUGAUGAAAAUGCUCCGGUGUUUCUUGAUCGACUGGAGCUCUAUCAGGAGAUGGACCACCCACUUUCACACUACUUCAUCAACUCCUCCCACAACACAUACCUGACUGGCAGGCAGUUUGGAGGAAAGUCUUCUGUGGAGAUAUACCGGCAGGUCCUGCUCUCCGGAUGCAGGUGUGUGGAGCUGGACUGCUGGGAUGGAAAGGGAGAAGACCAGGAGCCUAUUAUUACUCAUGGCAAGGCCAUGUGCACAGAUGUGCUUUUCAAGGAAGUUAUUCAGGCCAUCAAAGAAACUGCAUUUGUGACUUCCGAAUACCCCGUGAUUCUCUCGUUCGAGAACCACUGCUCGAGACAUCAGCAGUAUAAGUUGGCCCGAUACUGUGAGGACAUUUUUGGAGAAAUGCUCCUCAAGCAACCUUUAGAAGACUUCCCAAUGGCGUCCGGACAGGCUUUGCCUUCACCAAAUGAUCUUAAAGGAAAAAUCCUCAUUAAGAACAGAAGAUUAAAACCUGAAGUUGAAAAGAAGCAACUGGAACACUUCAGGAAGCAUAUGGAAGCUGGAGAGACGAACACUAUUAUGUCAGAGGAUGAGAAUGAGGAAGAUCCUGGCUCUGGAGAGCUCGUGGAUGAGGCUCACCCAGAACGGAUAUGUGGAAACCUCGUCAUUAGCCAGACGAAUAAUAGUGAAGGAAAUAUGCUUGGGGCAAGAAAGGCUGGUGAAACAAAUGUGGCUGAUGAGCAAGCUUUGAUCCAGUCUUACACAUACGUUGCAGCAACCACUAAUAUUCACCCAUACCUUUCUAAUAUUGUAAACUAUGCUCAGGCUGUGAAAUUCCAAGGUUUUGAGGAAGCUGAAGAGAAGAACAUCCACCACAACAUGUCUUCCUUCAGCGAGUCAGUGGGAUUGGGAUACUUGCGGACCAACGCCAUUGAAUUCGUGAACUACAACAAGCGCCAGAUGAGUCGGAUCUACCCUAAAGGAGGCAGAGUGGACUCUAGUAAUUAUAUGCCUCAGAUAUUCUGGAAUGCCGGCUGCCAGAUGGUAGCUCUGAACUUCCAGACCCCAGAUUUGGCAAUGCAGCUGAACCAAGGAAAGUUUGAGUACAAUGGGUCAUGUGGUUAUUUGCUGAAGCCAGAUUUCAUGCGUCGGCCAGACCGCACGUUUGACCCUUUCUCUGAGACCCCCGUGGAUGGAGUGAUUGCAGCUACUUGCAGUGUCCAGGUAAUUUCAGGCCAGUUUUUGUCUGACAAGAAGAUUGGCACCUAUGUGGAGGUGGAUAUGUAUGGCCUGCCUACAGAUACCAUUCGCAAGGAGUUUCGCACUAGGAUGGUGAUGAACAAUGGCCUAAACCCUGUAUACAAUGCGGAACCGUUUGUUUUUAGAAAGGUAAUCCUUCCGGACCUUGCAGUGCUCAGAAUAGCGGUGUAUGAUGACAACAAUAAGCUGAUUGGUCAGAGGAUUCUCCCCCUGGACGGUCUGCAGGCCGGCUACAGACACAUCUCCCUACGAAAUGAGGGCAACAAUCCCCUUACCUUACCCACCAUCUUCUGCAACAUCAUCCUCAAAACAUAUGUACCUGAUGGAUUUGGAGCCAUUGUGGAUGCACUGUCUGAUCCGAAAAAGUUUUUAUCCAUUUGUGAAAAGAGAACUGACCAAAUGAGAGCCAUGGGCAUUGAGACGUGGGAGAUAGCUGAGGUGCCAAAUGACAGCCCGAAGAGAACUAAAAGAGGAAAGACAAAUCAUCUAAAGGCUGUGUCACCUCAGAAAAGUUCUGAGCAACAAGAUGCAUCAUCAGGACCAAAUCCGAACGUUUCCUCAAGAAAUGUGUCUCCUAAACCUGUAAACAUGCCUCAAGUUACCAUUGAUGACCUGAAACAAAUGAAGGCAUAUUUAAAGCUAGUAAAAAAGCAGCUGAAGGAAGUUAAUGCAUUGACGAAAAAGCAUGCAGAGGCAUACACUGCAUUGCAGAGAUCACAUUGUACUCAGGUGGACAAGAUAGCGACACAACAUGAAAAGGAAAAGCGGGUGCUGGAAAAACAAUUAGAGAGAUGUAGCAAGAAAGUCAGCGAAUAUAACUGUGAAACCAGAGGUGAAAUGGAGAGAAGGAUAAAGAGCGUUACCACAGACUACAAAAUAAAGGUGAAGAAUAUGGGCGCUGCUCAAGCAGACGAAUUGACUGAGACGACGAAGACACAUAACGCUGAGAUCCAGGACCUCAGUGACCAGCAUGUGCUACAGCAGUGUGAACUACUCAGAAAGUUAAUGCUUAUAACACAGGAACAGCAGACACAACAGCUCACAUACCUCCAUGAGCGACAGAGUAAGGAGAUGAGAGCUAACCAAGCAAAGUCAUCAAUGGAGAACAGUAAAGCCAUCAGUCAAGACAAAAGCAUCAAAAACAAGGCUGAGAGAGAACGGAGGGUUCGAGAACUGAACAGCAACAAUACCAGAAAGUUUCUUAUAGAAAGAAAAAAAGCUUGCCUUGAACCAGUCCAAAGAGCUUGAUCAGCUCCAGACAGUCCAACGUGAACAGCUAGAGCAGCUGGAUAAAUACAAUGCUGAGCUCUUGAAGUCACACCUUUCAACAUCUCCGUGCCAUGGCCAAAAUGACACAGCACACGCACAUGAAGAACACAGAGGUGAACAAGGUCAAAGUCCCAGUGGUGCCAUAAACUCCCUAACCACAUGAGACAGCAGCAGCUCUGUGAACAAAUGCGCACACAAACAUCUGCAGAAGUGUAAAAAAAAUAAUUCUGCAUUCUGGUUUCACACAUAUAUGCAUGCUUGUUUUUUUAAUAGUUCAUUCUAAAGGGUGGUCUUUUUUCACAUAAAAUAUUUUGUGUAUAUAUCUUUUCAUAACAUCAUUUUAUAUAAAAAAAUAUUUUAUACAUUUAUAUUAUCUAAAUGUCGAAUAUUUAUGUUGUGUACCACUAUACUAGUACCCUUUUCUUUACUACCCCCUUGUUCUUUGUAUUUCUUGUAUUUAUAGGUGAUCUGCAAUGCUCUCAGGGUAAAUUAUCGGGGCAGCAAGAGAGGUUAUUUUACAGGAACCUCUCAUUUUAAUGCUGUUUAUAGUACAAUUAAAAUGUCUCUGGAAUAUGAAUAUUAACUCUAGAGAGUUGCUGAGUACAACAACGUAAAGAUUGUAAAAGAAAAUGGAAAUGCUUUAUUGACAGUACAGUGAUCUUCUCCAGCAUACUCCGAAUUAAAGAUGUACAGAAGAUUUCUAUAUAAAAAUGGUAUUCUCUUUUCUGCUUGUAUUUAAUAACACAAAUUUUCAUCCUACUCUCACACUAAUAUAUGCGCUUCAUUUAUUCUUUAAUAAUACAGACUUUUCUAUUAAAUUUUUUUUUAGCUUUUUAGACUCCUAUUUCCCCCGAUCUUACGUCUGGUGGGUUUCCAUUGUUAGACAUGUCAUUGUCAAUGUCUCAUCCUUUAAAUACAGUGAUUCAGCAUGCACAUCUGAAAAUAAGUGUUUCAAAAUGUGUGAAGGGGAGGGGGCACAGCAGAGAUUAUGAAUAUUUAUGAGACCACUUGCAGUCUUUAAGAGCCCUUGAGAAAAUGUCUUCAGGAAUACUAAGAUGUGUAGAAAGGCUAUAAGAUUUUUGAGGGUACAGUUACAAAGAAGUUGUGCCAUUUUAUGGCUAACUGAUUGGCCUGGUCAAAUUCAGUUGAAGUUUGUGGCUGAAAAGACCGACACUGUAGUGUAUCUUAGUCAGUAAAGUUUCUUCCAGGCUCGAGCAUCUCAUGAUCAUAGAUUUUGUUAGGACAGAAUGACAUUUACAACAACAGCCUCAAAGAGAAUUCAGGAGAUGAUCACACUUGAUAUUUGCUGUAGACUUCUAUCUACUGUAUUUUUAUUUUUAGAGUAACCACGUAACAGGCGGUUUAGAGUUGACAACAUACAAGCAUCCAAAAUGCACUUGCUUUGCAUAGUUUAGUCAUACUUUUGUUUAACUGAGUUCAAUACAGCACAAGUGUUUCCAAUCCUGAAAAGACCUGAAACUAGCCAAGAAAAAUGUGAGCAAUGGAAAAGGGAGACACAUUUUUCUUCUUAUUUUUCUCAGUCUUUGUAUGGGGAAACAAGGUCACUGUGGUGCACACACAUUUCUGAUGUAUGAUCAUUAUCCACUCUGUAACCCCUUUUUCCUCCCACUGUCUUUGCAAUGUAUCUUAAAAUAGAAACACUCCUGUAGGUCAUAGACACACUGUCAGCGUUUACACAGUGACCUUUUUUGGCAGUUUAUUAUAUUUAACUGUAUUUGCUAGACCUGUUAAACUCUAUUUGUUAAUACCUGUUUACAUUUGAAUUUGACAUCUCAAAUGAACCAGUGGACAUCCAAAGAGAUUUGAAUACUUUCUGUUACCACUUGUGAUCAGAUUUCAUGUAUGAUUUCUGCCUUAUAUUAUAUUUGUUUUUCAGUCUGUAAUGUUCUCUUAUGUGCCUGUACAGGCUCUUUCAAAUGAGUGACCCAGAGAAGAACCAGAGAUGAGACAACA
This is an RNA transcript of Hemibagrus wyckioides, 5993 nucleotides long. It is a transcript of the gene named 1-phosphatidylinositol 4,5-bisphosphate phosphodiesterase beta-4, with no coding region annotated. The record is from RefSeq and is a predicted model, not a curated record. Lineage: Eukaryota; Metazoa; Chordata; Actinopteri; Siluriformes; Bagridae. The transcript has 38 exons.